This 185-nucleotide ribosomal RNA is filed under the name uncultured Bacteroidota bacterium. RNAcentral describes it as "uncultured Bacteroidetes bacterium partial 16S ribosomal RNA". It matches the Rfam family "Bacterial small subunit ribosomal RNA", at positions 355 to 524 of the family's 1533-position model. The record is from RNAcentral. Lineage: Bacteria; Pseudomonadati; Bacteroidota.
UGAGGAAUAUUGGUCAAUAGGGCGGCGAGCCUCGAACCAACGCCAACGUAAGCGUGAAGGAAUGAAGGUCCUAUGGAUUGUUAAACUUACUUUUAUUAGUAGAAUAAAGUAGAGCCACGUGUGGUUUUUUGUUANGUAUACUAUGAAUAAGGAUCGGCUAACUCCGUGCCAGCAGCCGCAGUAAU